UUAACACUGGCAGUAAAGAAGGCCUUUCUGAUUAAUAUAUAUACAUAUUAGUUGUGUGCGCGUGUUUUUUCCUCCACCGACCUGUGUUUCCUCUUUUACGGUAUUAUAAACAAGCUGAAAUCACAAAUGUCAAUCAAACAAACAAGGUUUGAAAUUCUCCGCCUAACAAAAGCUAUGCAAAAAGAGUUUGCCGGGUUUCAAGCUACACUUGUGUUUAAAAUACAGGCAUUAUGCGAACAACUAUAAUCAAUCAUCGGUAUAGUGCAAUAAUAAGUCAUACGUUAUUUCAAACAUACAGAGAACAUUUUUGAAUUUAAAACCCGAAUCCAAGUGUGACAUUUUAACUUAGGACCUUUAACUGUGGCAGAAGUUUAUUCCACAGUACUGUACCUAGCUCGUGUUCAUUACAAGUACACAGUCUAAAUCAAACACCAGGUUUGUACAGCAGGAUGUGGCGCCACAGUGCGGUAACCGUUCAGGAUAAUAAGUAUUUAACAAAUAAAAAGACUUAAAAGUGCGGUUCACCACUUAUCCGGCUCAGCUUUGACUGUGCUCCGCUCAGAAAGAUGUGCCGCCUUAACCAUCAACCUGAAGGGGCUUGUGGGAAAAUUAAUGUUCUCAGUGACGCACACCUUGGUAACUCGUGAGAACUCGGAGAAAAAGGGAUCCCUAAAGACACCCUUGAAAUGUUCAAAAAACAAACAAACAAACUUCCGCACCUUUCCUGGAUUAUCGUUACUAGGACCGCCAGAUCUGGGGGUGGUGUCCAUAGGCGAGGAACUGGUGACUGGGCCACCCACGUAACCAAGUCAAGAUCCGCCCGCAAUGGUGACGUGAAGCCCACUUGUGGGCUCUUGAGGGUCAAGGCCUCAGACUAGACCUUUGGGAAGGUGGAAUGUCAUUGUACUGGCAGGGAAAGACCCCGAGUUAUUGUGUGGGAGCAAAAGAUAUAGACGCAGUAUGAGCUCAGGUUCCAUGUGUUUCGAUUGGGGGUGGUCUCUCUCCUACUCUGGAAUGCAGGGGGAAGAUAGCGUGGGGAUACUCGACGGUCCCAGGCUGGAGGCCUUGGGAGUUUUUCCAGGUAGAAAAGAGGUUUGGGGGGGGGGGGGGGGGGGUCUGUUAAUGGGUUGGAGUCUCGGGAAGAAAAACUCUGGCUGCUGUUUCUGCAUACGCACCGAAGUAUUUGGAAUAGAAAGCCUUUAUUUGUCACGUAUAUGCACAUACGUUACAUUACCGGUACAGUCAAAUUCUUCUCUUCGCAUGUUCCGGCUUCAUAGGAGUUGGAGACAGAGUGCAGGGUCUUGAUAUGGCACUGCUGGGGCGGAGAGGAUUAAGGACCUUGCUCGAGGUCCCGACAGUGGCAGCUUGGCGGUGUUGGGGUUUGAACCCCUUGACCGUCUGAUCAGUAACCCAACGCCUUAACAUGUUUGAGAUAAUACUUGCUGCUGAAUCCAUAGUGCUACUAGGGGACCUCAGUACUUAGUCUAGGAUACUCCUUGGCUUGCAAAGAAGUCUAAUAAUUGCAAGGUGUAUGUGGUACCAGAGCACCUUGGGCCAAAGGUCAACGAGUGAUUUUAUGACCAUAUCAUCAGACUUGAGGCCGUAUGUCUUGGACAUUUGGGUUGCUUGAAAUUAUUUGGUUCAGUGAGAGAUGAAUUUAUUCCCACCUCUGAAAGGUCUUCUCCACUUGUACCAAGUGAAGUCUGGACACACUGAAUCUGAAUGGACCAUGUUCAUAUCCUCGACCACACACCCUGCUGCAAGAAGCUGCGGCCAGAAGACAGUCAGUGUCCGUCGUGGUAGUAAUCCUAGGAUGCACUUGUGGACAUCAGUUCUGAAGAACGAGGCCAAGAAAUGCUCAUGGAGGGCUCUACUGAUUCAAUUGAGAGGCACAGGGGAGCCAGAAGGGGGUGCAGCAAAAGCAGUUACUGAAGUGGAAGCUUCUGCAAUAGAGGUGUUUGGUGUCAAAGAUGUUCUGGCAGACCAUUUGGUGCCUCUGAAAGGGGAAAUGAAACCGUGCAUAAAUUCUGCUAAGCAAGUGCCAGUUAGUGUCAACCUCUACUCGGGAUAUUUUGAAGUGAUGGAUGGAGCACUCUGACAAACUCCUGAACCUAGUGGACAUGCCCUCCCUUCAGAUGGAAGUUCUCAAAAUCCCUAAAAGCUUCAUAGUGGCAAAGCUGCAAUGGUGGAGGAGAUUUAUCUGGGGACAUUGAAGACACUGGACAGGGGUAGGAGUGUGUGGUUAACACGCCUUUCAAAGUCAUGGAGGACUGGGGCAGUGCUUUGUGAGGGGUCACGGUCAUAUGUUUAUCCAGUCUACAUGUAUUUAUUUGGAAAACGCCUAUGAUUGGUGGGCUGGACAUUUGUGGUGGGAGGUAGUGCAGGAGUACAGGGUAUCUGGGUUGCUACUUGGUACGAUUCGGUCUCUGUAGGUGCACAGUAGGAGUUGUGCUUGCGUUUAAGGUGGUUGUUGGAUGUUGUCAAGGGUGUCCCAUCUCCACAUCUGUUUCUGGGUUUCAUGCACAGGAAAUCAAGGAGCAGCCAUGGUUGAAGAGGUGUGCAUUUUGGUGGUGGUGGUGGGGGGAUAGGGUGAUGUUUUCUCGGCACCAUCCGAAGUGUAUCUCCGGCAUACACACGAAUGUUUUGCUGCCGAGUAUGACGCAUCAGGGUUGAAAAAUCACCACCUCAUUGUCUGAGUCUCCCAAAAAAAGAGGAGGGCCUUCUCAUCCAAGUGAGGAGAGAGACCUUCCCCGCUGCUGGAGGAGUUACAUACUUUGGGAUCUUAUACCAGUAGUGGUGGAAAAAGAAUGGAAAAGAGAGAGUGUAUCAAAUGCAUCAAGGCAGUAGCAGCGUUACAGUAGGAGCUCAGUUUGGGGAUGAAGCUUCCUGUCUACUGGUCAACUCUCAUCCCUGUCCUCACCAUGAGCUGUGGAUAGUGACUGAAAGAAUAGGGUCACGAGUACACGUGCCAGAAGCUUCAGACGGUCCGACUGGCUUUAGGACCAUGUAGUGUCCUGCAGAAGGGGAGGCGCUUUUUAACGUAUUUUAACCUCUUUCCCUCAGACGUUUAGAGAGCACUUAAAGGUGUCCGAUCUAAUUUUGAUGACUACUGUACAAUGCAAGCCCUCAAAAGGUCAGGUUCCUUUUGAAACCAUAGUUCAUAUUUUUACAACAACAAAAAAAAACACACAAAACAGAGACUGGCUCGUUCUUGUGACUGGUUGCGUUGUGCGUCGAGGCGGCAAAAUGCUACUGCAAACACAAUGUCUCGCUGAAGACGGUAACAAUACAAGGGGAAAGAAGGAAGAAAAACAGUCCACUGGGACACAAGUUUUUUGUUUUUCAAGUUCAAAAGAGGACUGGUAAGUCCUGAGAAAGGGAACAUGGGGGUGUGGCUAAACCAAGAAAAAAAGAAAAAAAAAAAAGGAGCUGGUUAAAACAAAUAAUAAUAAAAAGUUGCUUUCUAAAUCAUUUCUACUCACCAAGAUUGAUCUAUUAUUAAAAAGUAAUGUUUGACUAAAAGAAGUGUGGCACAGUGGGACUUCCCUCUGCGAUCUGGGCUCAAGUCAGAAGCAGUCUAGUUUAAGUCUAGUUUGACGGAACUACAAAAUGUUACACUGAAACACCCUGAAGUACGUUCUGAUAACUGAUCCCACACGGACGAGAUCGGACGAGAUGCUGCUCAUCUCGAGGACCACAUUAUUACGGCUGAAAUUAGGAUCGACACGCGAGUGAGCUCUGAUCAGCACGCGAGUGCUACGUUAGCUCAUCCUUUAUGAUUCCAUUACGGUAGAGCAAAAGAUAUAACCGUUUUCUUAACCCAACAACUAAAAUUAGAAUUUGAAAAAAAAAAAAAGUAACGAUAAAAAGCCUCCGUCUAGCGAACGUACCACGAUUCCACGGGCGCCUUUCGUCCGAUUGCGCGCGCGGUUAGAAACGAAGAAAACGCACAAAAACGCGACGUGCUGGAUCGAGUGCUAUUUUAUAAACGGGGGAAUAAUGAAUGCGGGAGCCGUAUUGUUCAAUUAAACCAGGUUACGGUGAUCGACGUGAUCAUCGUAACAACGAGGACUAUUGAGAUUUAUUUCACCGCUUUCCAUCGUCUCGUUCAUGGAUCAAGUCUUUUUCCGCCGUUUUGACGCUUCCUCGCUCCCUUUAAGUUACAUCGUUUUUCCAUUUGCCAUCCUUUUCGAGGAGGAGAAAUCUUACCCCGGGGUGUUUCCGGAAACGUCCGUUUGAAGAAAAGUGCCCGUGUUUAAAGGCGGUGGUCUGGACGCUUUUGAAGCUCCCGUGCUACUACUCGAUAAAAAUCUCAAUUUAAAGUUAAGAUUUGCAUAAACAGAAUACGGAGCACAGAACAUCACCUUAAGUACCUGCGUAACGCGGAUCUGAAUACAAAGAACUUUCCCCAUGUAGAUCUUUAUAUUAUUAUUAUUAUUAUUAUUUAUCUUAAUCCGCUGACUCGUUGUGUACACGGUCACGAUGACAACAAAUCUCAAAUUCCUUACAUUUGGCCUAACUACAAUGGUACUUUUCUAUAAAGGCUGAAAGGGUCUUGGCGAAUUUGCAGUGUAGUUAUUUUAAUUUUUACUAUUAUUAUUAUUAUUAUUAUUAUUAUUAUUAUUAUUAUUAUUAUUAUUAUUAUUAGCUCUUAAAGGAUAUGCGGGGACCCACUUCCUUCCUAGAGAACUCUGGUGCGAUCGAAUCGCGUUUAAGUCGGAGAAGCUGCUCUUGUCGGUCUGACGACAUGAAAGCGUGUCAUGUCGAAGCGUCGACGACUCGAUCCAGCUAAAAGGAAAGAAACCAAGUUAACGAAAUCAUCACUCAGGACACUUUCCCAGUCAGGGACCUGAUUGAAUUCAGCUCCAACUGUCUGAUGGAUAGCGUUAGCAGUUUAUAUUCUCUCGCUGUAUAGCAGCUCAUGGGCUGGGGCUUUGGCCGGGACCCGGCGGGUUGGACGGUAAGUCUGCGGGACACGUGGAGCCGUUGCUGGGGUGAUGGGUGGUGGUGGUGGUGGUGGUGGUGGUGUUGGUGGUUGGGGUUGUGGCGGUUGUAGUAGGUGAAGACGACACUCGAUCGGCCCAGAUCCUUGGCACUUUGCCCAGGGGGCGGAGCCUAUGCGCGUCCAACAUCUCCAGCAGCAGGUCAUACAGAGGAACUUUGUUCUUGCACUUCAUGCUGUACAGGUGUUCCAUCCCUUUAUAGCUCAUGUGUCUGAUGUGCGAGAGCAAAAGCAGGAGCUGGGCUUGACGCCGGGACUGGAGCUGCACCGAGAUUCCCGAUUGGCUGAUGUAGUAUAUGAGGGCAUCCGUGAUGUUAUCCAUCAUGCACUGCACCAUGAAGCCGUCCCUCAGGGGCUCGACGGGGGAGGAGCAGAACGAAAACGCACCAGAGUUGAGCAGGAUGAUGGCUUUGAGACACACAAACUCCUCUGACUUGAGUUUGAGGGUGCGGAAACGGGCCACUGUGGCCAGCAGCAUGUCGAAUAUCUCAGCCAUGCCCUCCACACACUCUCCUUCACUCUUGUCGAGGAUGAGGUCCUGAGCGAAGAUGAGUUUUCCAGGUGUGUAGAUGGACCUCCAGAUGAGACCAAUCAUCAAAAUCUCCAGCCAGGAGCUUUCCAACAGCUGUACCUGGUCAUGCAGAGAGAGGUCCUGGAAUCCAGGCACUUUCUUGGCCCAGGCGAUCAUGUGAACGAGCUCCCUGUCGGCCAUGUUGGUGAGCAGACUCAUUAUGGUGAGCUCGCUGUAGGGUCGGCUGUGUUUCUGUCGUGAGCACAGGGUGGGCGGCUCCGCCCGCAACAGCAGCAGCAACACCUGCUCCGGAGACAUGCAGACCACGUCCGCUACCCCUCCCCCGAUCCCGGAACUGCUCUGCCCGUCCUGUGGAAGCGCUUCUCUCACAUCAGAACCGCUCUGGGCUUUGCUAUAACCUCGCUCCCGCUCCUUCAGUCCACUCGGCCUCCUGUUGUGCUUGAUGAUGCGACCGCCACGCUCCUUACGAAAACCUCCUUUCAUCAUGCCCACUUCGUAGCACUUGCGUAGACGACACGCUUGACAGCUCUUCCUGCGGUUCCUGUCGAUGGUGCACUGGUUGGUCGCUGGACACACGUAAUCAUUGUGACCUUGUAUACUGCGCUUGAAGAAGGCCUUGCAGCCCUCGCACGACCAGACUCCGUAGUGGUACCCUGAGGCGUAGUCACUGCACACCGAACAGUAGCGGAUCUCCUUCACCAACCCGAUUGCUCCUGAAGGCCCCGAAGCUCCCGAUGGUCCCGAGGCUCCCACUGCGGUGUACACAUCCUGCCUGCCGGGGGCGCUGCACAGCUCCACUCGUGAUCCUGCACUGGCUAACACACUGGACCUGUAGAUGGAGGUUCCUGAUGGUUCCAGGUAGUACGGCACCUGCUGAGCAGUAUGUUGUCCUGCGGGAGGAUGGCCGAGGAACGGCGAGAGCUGCGGGCUGGAAGGAACGAACACCGGAGGGCUGCUGGAGCCGUUAGGCAGCGGCUGCAGGUUCUCCUCCUGAGGCUCUGGGGCGACUGAGUAGUAGUCCACUGACGAGUUGGUGGCAUCGGGGUUGGUGGUGUAGUUGAACGUCCCGUCUAGGUAGUGAGCGGUGGAGGAAAUGCCCCCCGUGGUGCGCUGCUCCUCCUCCGGGUACAUGGGCGAGAGCUUGAGGGAAGCGAGAGACACCGAAUACCCUUCUAGCUCGCUCCUGCGUCGCUGCCUGGCACCAGCCGGAGCUUCAGCGCGAGCCUGCUCUUCCGACAUCACCGUGGAAACACACACGUAUACACACACGCUCGUGCCGAAUUCGGCACGAGAAAUGACACAAGAAAACAGACAAACCUCUGAACAAGAAUAUACAAACGAACAAACAAACAAACAAAAAAGGAACUGAGCAGCGGGAGGUGUCCUACCGGUUGGCGUCUCCCCUCCCCACAAUGGGCCCCCGCUGUGAGAGGUGUGUGCGAGUGAGCCGUUUUUGCGUAUGAAUGUAUGGACCUGGGGCUGAGGAUGCGGAGCUUACCUCCGAAAUCUCUAACUUUCAGCGCAUGUCAUUCUUCGACUGCGCUCCGUGUGCAAAGUGAGCAGAAGAAUGGGUGUGUGUGUGUGCGCGCGUAUGUGUGUGUGAGAGAGAGAGAGAGAGAGCGCGUGUGUGCCUGAAGUGUGUGUCGAGCAGGACUGAAUGUGGACGCAUGUGGAGAGUCACCAUCGAAAUACUGAAAGGAGCGUUAAUACAAAGUAGUCUGGAAAAAUCGAAUAAAGGAAGAAGAAAAAAAAAAAAAAAAGAAGUAAACAGCAAAGAAGAAGCGUCUGAUCAGAAAAGGAAAAAAAACUUCAAGAAUAAAAAAUUUCAAAGCAACAGCAAUGAUUUAAAAAUGAGAGACAUCAGGUUUCUUUUCUUUCUCUUUAAUUUUUUUUUUUUAAAUGACACUGGACUAGGCUCUUAAGUGAAGAAACGGAGGGCCGUUGUGUUUAAAAAAAAAAAAAAAAAAAAGAAGGAAAAAAAAGAUGCACUCCAUAGCUUUUGGGGUUUGCUUUUAGUCUCCAGUGUUUUACCUUUUUAUUUUAGCUUCUGAAUAUAUUUUCAUUGCUUGUGUAAAACUGCAGUUUAACCCUUACGAUCCCUCGAUACGAGUACCACUGUAGUUUUGCCUUUUUGGGAGAGAGAGAGAGAGGAGAAAAAAUCCGUUGCAAUCACCCAUUUUUACCUUUCAGUACUCUGUAUGACUCUUCUGCAUGAUAUUUGUUCUUUGUUAUUUUCCUUCUUGUAGGUUCCCAGGUAAAGCCCUCACACCUUUUGUGGUGGUAAUAAAUGGAGAAAUAAGGCCAUUUUAUGUAAAGUCACGAAAAAUUCAAUCUUUACGUGUACUGAAAUGCAGCGUAGUUUUGUUAUUUUUGUUUUUUACUUCUGUUGACAAAUUACUUUCUCCCCCUCUUUAUUUCAUUUGUAAACUUCUUACAUAUUUAACCCCUCCCAUGCCUCCUUUGUACUCACUUCUCAGUACCCACCUGAUCUGAUUCAGUCGAACCUGUUUUGCGUACACACUGAGGGCAGUGUGUGAUGAGUUGCAGAUUUAGGACUGAUAUGCCUGUCCCAUCAAACUAUAUGCAUAAUACAAAUACAAUCUUUUUUUUUUUUUUCCUUUUUUAUUUUAUUUUAUUUUUUUUUUUAUAUAUGUAUAUGUAAAUAGUCCUAAUUAAUGUCAAGCCACAUUAGAGGUGUAAUGCUUCACGAUAGUUUCAAUGAUUUGAAAUAAAUGACCUGCCUCUUAUUUUGGGGUGUUCUUUCUGGGGGAAAAAAUGAUUUGCGUAGCGUGAUGCUCCAGCUUCCUGAAGUCUCUGGUGUCUCGCAGACUGUCGUCCGGUGCCUUCUUUCUAGAGCACAAGUAAAAGGAGGGAAGAAAAAAAAAAAAAAAACCCCGCAUGAACAAAACAGUGGUGUUCUCGAGUGCACAAUAUUGUCCUUAUUCCCUUCUAGGUCCCUUUUUAUUUUAUUUUAUUUUGUUUGUGUUGAAGUUUCACAACACUGUAAAGAUGGAUUACUCUUACUUGUGGUCAUAACCUUCUGUAGGACAUAGGGUAUAUGUGCAGCAUUCUUCAAAUAUGCAGCAUUGGCAAAGUUGUGGUUUCAAAGGCCAGGAAAACAUUGAAAUUAGAUGAUAUCUUAACCUGUUGACCAUACAACUACAGGCUAAGUUUCUUUCAUGAAAUAAAUAUUGAAACCAUGAAAAAAAAAAAAAAAAAAAAAAAAAA
Molecule: unclassified non-coding RNA, 8762 nt
Filed under: Ictalurus punctatus (channel catfish)
Lineage: Eukaryota; Metazoa; Chordata; Actinopteri; Siluriformes; Ictaluridae
Description: estrogen receptor alpha antisense RNA
Source: RNAcentral